Molecule: ribosomal RNA, 745 nt
Filed under: uncultured Bacillus sp.
Lineage: Bacteria; Bacillati; Bacillota; Bacilli; Caryophanales; Bacillaceae
Description: bacterial SSU rRNA
Rfam family: Bacterial small subunit ribosomal RNA
Source: RNAcentral
GACGAACGCUGGCGGCGUGCCUAAUACAUGCAAGUCGAGCGGACCGACGGGAGCUUGCUCCCUUAGGUCAGCGGCGGACGGGUGAGUAACACGUGGGUAACCCGCCUGUAAGACUGGGAUAACUCCGGGAAACCGGGGCUAAUACCGGAUGCUUGAUUGAACCGCAUGGUUCAAUCAUAAAAGGUGGCUUUCAGCUACCACUUACAGAUGGACCCGCGGCGCAUUAGCUAGUUGGUGAGGUAACGGCUCACCAAGGCGACGAUGCGUAGCCGACCUGAGAGGGUGAUCGGCCACACUGGGACUGAGACACGGCCCAGACUCCUACGGGAGGCAGCAGUAGGGAAUCUUCCGCAAUGGACGAAAGUCUGACGGAGCAACGCCGCGUGAGUGAUGAAGGUUUUCGGAUCGUAAAACUCUGUUGUUAGGGAAGAACAAGUACCGUUCGAAUAGGGCGGCACCUUGACGGUACCUAACCAGAAAGCCACGGCUAACUACGUGCCAGCAGCCGCGGUAAUACGUAGGUGGCAAGCGUUGUCCGGAAUUAUUGGGCGUAAAGCGCGCGCAGGCGGUUUCUUAAGUCUGAUGUGAAAGCCCCCGGCUCAACCGGGGAGGGUCAUUGGAAACUGGGGAACUUGAGUGCAGAAGAGGAGAGUGGAAUUCCACGUGUAGCGGUGAAAUGCGUAGAGAUGUGGAGGAACACCAGUGGCGAAGGCGACUCUCUGGUCUGUAACUGACGCUGAGGCGC